AGUGAACGCUGGCGGUAGGCCUAACACAUGCAAGUCGAACGGCAGCACAGUAAGAGCUUGCUCUUACGGGUGGCGAGUGGCGGACGGGUGAGGAAUACAUCGGAAUCUACUUUUUCGUGGGGGAUAACGUAGGGAAACUUACGCUAAUACCGCAUACGACCUACGGGUGAAAGCAGGGGAUCUUCGGACCUUGCGCGAUUGAAUGAGCCGAUGUCGGAUUAGCUAGUUGGCGGGGUAAAGGCCCACCAAGGCGACGAUCCGUAGCUGGUCUGAGAGGAUGAUCAGCCACCUUGGAACUGAGACACGGUCCAGACUCCUACGGGAGGCAGCAGUGGGGAAUAUUGGACAAAGGGCGCAAGCCUGAUCCAGCCAUACCGCGUGGGUGAAGAAGGCCUUCGGGUUGUAAAGCCCUUUUGUUGGGAAAGAAAAGCAGCAGGUUAAUACCCCGCUGUUCUGACGGUACCCAAAGAAUAAGCACCGGCUAACUUCGUG
Molecule: ribosomal RNA, 492 nt
Filed under: uncultured bacterium
Lineage: Bacteria
Description: partial 16S ribosomal RNA
Rfam family: Bacterial small subunit ribosomal RNA
Source: RNAcentral